UAGGAAUAUGCCUUAAAGUGGGGGACAACUUGGGGAAACUCAAGCUAAUACCGCAUAAUCUCUUUGGAGAAAAGCUAGGGACCUUCGGGCCUGGCGCUUUAAGAUUAGCCUGCGUACGAUUAGCUAGUUGGUAGGGUAAAGGCCUACCAAGGCGACGAUCGUUAGCUGGUCUGAGAGGAUGACCAGCCACACUGGAACUGAGACACGGUCCAGACUCCUACGGGAGGCAG
RNAcentral lists this ribosomal RNA (230 nucleotides) under uncultured bacterium. Its description in RNAcentral is "partial 16S ribosomal RNA". It matches the Rfam family "Bacterial small subunit ribosomal RNA", at positions 118 to 351 of the family's 1533-position model. The record is from RNAcentral.